RNAcentral lists this ribosomal RNA (254 nucleotides) under uncultured bacterium. Its description in RNAcentral is "partial 16S ribosomal RNA". It matches the Rfam family "Bacterial small subunit ribosomal RNA", at positions 524 to 776 of the family's 1533-position model. The record is from RNAcentral.
UACGUAGGGUGCGAGCGUUGUCCGGAAUUAUUGGGCGUAAAGAGCUCGUAGGCGGUCUGUCGCGUCGGUCGUGAAAACUUGGGGCUUAACCCUGAGCUUGCGGUCGAUACGGGCAUGACUGGAGUUCGGCAGGGGAGACUGGAAUUCCUGGUGUAGCGGUGAAAUGCGCAGAUAUCAGGAGGAACACCGGUGGCGAAGGCGGCAUCCUGGACCGGUAUUGACGCUGAGGCGCGAAAGCCAGGGGAGCAAACGGG